Acinonyx jubatus (cheetah) is the source of this 341-nucleotide long non-coding RNA. RefSeq lists it as uncharacterized. Lineage: Eukaryota; Metazoa; Chordata; Mammalia; Carnivora; Felidae. The transcript is spliced from 3 exons. The record is from RefSeq and is a predicted model, not a curated record.
AAAGUGAGUGGUUGAGGAAGAAAAACGGCGGUGGAAUGGCGGCCUGUGGAUGCGGACGUGGCGGUCGUGGAGGAAGAGGCAGGGGACAAAGCGUGAGGAGUGCAGGGUCAGAUAAGGAAACGGAGGCUCAAAAAGAUUCAGGAUGUGUGCGGAGGGCCAACUGGGCUGGCUCCAGAGUGGGCGCCCCUGAAUAUUUCUCUGCUGCCCCUGGAAGGGCCAGGUUCUCCAGAUGAAGGAUACCAGCCCUGCCUUCCCAUGCAAGCUGAACCUCAGGAGAAGAGGUCCAUCCACGUUACAAACGGCAAGAGCUCAUUCCUUUUUUAUGGCCGAGUAAUAUUCCA